Molecule: ribosomal RNA, 568 nt
Filed under: Toxoplasma gondii VAND
Lineage: Eukaryota; Apicomplexa; Conoidasida; Eucoccidiorida; Sarcocystidae
Description: SSU rRNA
Rfam family: Bacterial small subunit ribosomal RNA
Source: RNAcentral
AAUACGGGGGAUACAAGCGUUUUCCAAAAUUACUGGGCGUAAAGUGUAUGUAGGUGGAUUGGUAUGUUCUUCCUUAAAUACUAUUUGAUAAAUUUAGAAAAAGGAAGAAAACUAUUAAUCUUGAGUUCGAUAAGGGUAAGAGGAAUUUUUUGAGGAGUAGUGAAAUGCGAAGAUACAAAAAAGAAGAUCAACAGCGAAAGCAUCUUACUGGGUCGAUACUGACACUGAGAUACGAAAGUUAAGGUAGCAAAUGGGAUUAGAUACCCCAGUAGUCUUAACUGUAAACAAUGGAUACUCGGUACUGGAGACAUUAAAUAUAUAAAUUCAGUACCCUAGCUAACGCGUUAAGUAUUCCGCCUGAGUAGUACGCUCGCAAGGGUGAAACUCAAAGGAAUUGACGGGGGCUCGUACAAGCGGUGGAGCAUGUAAUUUAAUUCGAUGUAACGCGAUAAACCUUACCAGAACUAGACUAAAUUUAUUUUAAAUUAUUAAUAUUAAUUAAUAAAAAAUUUACAGGAGGUGCAUGGCUGUCGUCAGCUCGUGUCGUGAGAUGUUGGGUUAAGUCCCG